UGUUCCAAUGGGAGAUUUUCCAGUAGUUCCAAAAUCGACCAAUAGAUGGCAUUUGGCCUGUCGUUUUUAGUAGUGAGCUACAUUCUUCUGAGGAAACGGAGAUGACAAAUGUCACAGACCUACUACAAAACAAAUGUUAUGUUAUUCGGUUUCUCUUGUAGCUACGCGAAUGUCGGAGACGCGAAUGUCUCCGGUGCUGUGUUUUGUGAUAAUUUCGACGACUCUGGCUAUUCUUUUGGACUUUUGUGACUUCUAUACCCGACCGACCUUUGCACUCCCCCUGGACCCUUGCUUGCCAUUACGAUUUACCCCUGCCUGUACUCCGGACCUUGAAACAAUCAUGGGAAAAGACUAUGGAUCAUGGUCAACUGUACGCCUGAAGGACGAGCUGCGAAAACGCAAAGCAAAACUUUCUGGAAAGAAAGCAGUGCUUGUCCAGAGACUUGAAGAUUACGAUAAGCUGUUUGGACCAGUUGUAACCGACUCGGAAGUCGUAUUCAAAAUAAAAGUAGUAUUACCUAAGAGGUAGUCUGAUGGUUUGAAGUGGCCGGGGCAUAUUCUUGAAUGCUUUUUUAUGUUUAAUCCAGGCUUUAAUUCUUUUAAUGCUUCCAUCCAUUUUGCCCGUCUUGUUUCGUUUUGUGGAAUUUUGUGCACCCCCCUUUCUCUACAGUAAGCUACAAUACAACACGACGACAUAUCUACUAUAAAUGCUAUUCAGAGAGUCGGAAAACUUUAGUUUUGUGGUGUGGGUAGAGAAAACUAAGUACCCACCUACUAAUG
Plutella xylostella (diamondback moth) is the source of this 780-nucleotide long non-coding RNA. RefSeq lists it as uncharacterized. The record is from RefSeq and is a predicted model, not a curated record. NCBI's taxonomy places the organism in Eukaryota, Metazoa, Arthropoda, Insecta, Lepidoptera, Plutellidae.